This 816-nucleotide long non-coding RNA is filed under the name Malus domestica (apple). Its description in RNAcentral is "long non-coding RNA (MDOM_LNC011168)". Lineage: Eukaryota; Viridiplantae; Streptophyta; Magnoliopsida; Rosales; Rosaceae. The record is from RNAcentral.
AAAAGGUACCAUUCUCUUUGUCUCAUUGAGAAGUAUGAUUUUCAUUUUUGAAUAACUUGAUUUCAUUGAGUAUUGAAGAAGUUAUGAACGUUUAAAGUUUACAUAGUUUCCGGGGAGUUUUUCCGUUUUCCCUCGGACUAAUCAACUUUGGGGCUAUUGUCCGGCCAUCUCCGGCAACUAUUGGGCUUCCAAAUAGGUAUAACCUUAUUCUACAUUUUUCUAUCUUCAUUUUGAUAUAUUAUGGGUCAAUUUGGUUAAGAAACGAUUGAGUUACGAAGCUUUGAAAAUUACCCAAACUUCCGGCCAAGAGCUCUGGGACACUUAACAGAGUUUUUAACAGAAGGGCGAAAAUGAUGGAUAGUUGAAUAUCAGAGUGCGCAACGAACAAGAUUACAAAAUAAUAAGAAUAUUAUUAAACAAACUAGAAUGUCGAAACGGCUACAAAACCCUAAGAGCCUACAUUGUGAAUAGUUUGUUUUCUAAUAAAUAACAAAGCACUCUAUUUAUAAUAAACUAACCCUAACCCUAAUGCCAACAGGCUAGGCCCAAACUAAACUUAUAAGAAAACUCAAACAAUAUAAUACCUAAAAUACUAAUAUUUUCCGACAUAGUGGACAAUCUUAAAGACCACUUCUAUUGAUUUGAAAUUUCAGGAGCAUUUUCGCUAUUUAUCCUUUCAAUUUUAAAUUGUAAAAGUGGGAUCCUUUCUCUUUUUAAAACCCGGUCACCAUUGGUGACUUCUCACCAAACAAUCCCCUCCUCUCCUUCAUUUCUUUUCAACGAAUUAGAAAACACUUUCUUUUCACACUCUCUCUC